GACUCCGACCCCUUUCUGCAGUUUCUUUUGCCCUGUUAAAUCUUAUCUCAUUCCUUUGGGCUUCAGGGGUAUCCGAGUGGGGUCGCGGCCUCCGCACCCGUCACUGAGAGCCGACUUCGGUGCUCGGCAUUGGCGCGGUUUGUCAAGAUGGUGAAGCUGUUCAUCGGAAACCUGCCCCGGGAGGCCACGGAGCAGGAGAUCCGUUCACUCUUUGAGCAGUAUGGGAAGGUGCUGGAAUGUGAUAUCAUUAAGAACUACGGCUUUGUGCAUAUAGAGGACAAGACGGCGGCCGAGGAUGCCAUCCGCAACCUGCACCAUUACAAGCUGCACGGGGUGAACAUCAACGUGGAAGCCAGCAAGAAUAAGAGCAAAACCUCCACCAAGUUGCAUGUGGGCAACAUCAGCCCCACCUGUACCAACAAAGAGCUUCGGGCCAAGUUUGAGGAGUAUGGUCCAGUCAUCGAAUGUGACAUCGUGAAAGAUUAUGCCUUCGUACACAUGGAGCGGGCAGAGGAUGCGGUAGAGGCCAUCAGGGGCCUUGACAACACAGAGUUUCAAGGUGAACCACCCUCUAUGAGAAGAGGGCUGAACACAAGGCUAUAUGCAGAAAAUAGGUUGGAAAAGUAAAGAGAGAGGGGUUUGGAGUAGAGAUACAGCUGGUGGCUGGCUGAUGGUGAAGAACACAGUGCAGGCAUACCUCGGAGAUAUUGCAGGUUCGGUUCCUGAGCAUUGCAAUAAAGCAAGUAUUGCAGUAAAGCAAGUUAAAAGCGAGGCGUAACCUCUUGGUGGUAGAGGGUCUUGCCUUCAGUUUGAAAAAAAAAAACAAACGCAACAUCUGUGAAGCGCAAUAAAACAAGGUAUGCCUGUAUCAGCAUUUUACAUACGAAGAACCUGGCAAAAGUUGCUUAAGCAACACAUUUAGCAGUAGAAUCCUUGUUAAGCUGCCCCACCUCAUCCCAACUCAUACAUAACUUUUCAGUAAAAAUAGUCUUUAGAUAACUGGUGUUUUUAAGAGGUUCAGUUUUGAGGAUGAGGCCACUCUAGAAUUAAACUGAUUUCAGGAGUUUCUAAGGAGGAGGUAUUGAGAUUUUGGCAAUGCCUCUUCACUGGUUUGGGGGGUGGACUCUAUAACAUCCCUCCGUGAGCACUUAGAUGGGUGUUACCUUGAAGCCUUGACUAGAUGAAUUGUUUUAGUGUGCCUGGAAGGCAGCGUGUGUGAUGUUGUGGAUUGUCCCUUUAUUUGGAAGGUAUUUUCUUGAUUUAAGCUCUAAGUUCCUUUGGUAAGAGUGGCAGUCGGGAAGGGGUUGGUAACGAUGAGUUAACUCUCCUUUUUACUGCCUUUGGGUCCCCAGUGUCCAAAAAGAGCCUUUUCCUUUUGAUUGUAACUACUUCCAAGUCCUUGCUGCAUUUUUAACCUACAUUCCAAUCUUUUUAGUCCAAAUCAAGGUACUGGCUGCUGCUUUCCCUGAGCAGUCAUAUUGUUAAGAGGCAUUGCUGCUGUCUUUGCUGUUUAUUUCCCUUAAAUUGGACCUUUCUUAGAGCUGGAGGUCUGAUCAUCAUUCCCCCAAGUAACGGGUGUCCUGUCAUGGGUAUUGCUGUGGAUUGCAAAGAAGUAUCACAUGUCUCUUGGGUCUGGUUUUCCCUUUUUUAAUUGGUAAGUUGAGAAUUAUUUUGUGUCAACAACUUAAUUGGGAGCAAAAGUUGCUCUUGAAGAGGAUUUGUGGUCUGAUACCUAAUUUUUGGACUCUUCUGUUCUUAAACACAGUCAGAAGAGGUGGUGCUGUGUGCUUGCUUACAUGUGUAAGGGAGGAGCAGUGUGGACUGAUUUCAGGGCAAAUUAUCCUUGUAGCACUCUAGGCUCUCUGAUGCUACCUAUACUUAGUUAUUUUUGCCCCAUUUUCCUUACUAUUAUCCCCAUUCUCCUUAAUACUGCCUGGUAGAGUAUGUCUAAAGGAGCAGUAUUUAUUACAAUGGUCUUUUUCCUUUUCCUUUUCUCAGUAUUGGGUAUACAGUUGAUCCUUGAACAACGCUGGGGUUGAGGGCACUGUCCCACCCCGCCCCAAUCAAAAAUCUGAGUAUAACUUAAGCUGGCCCUCGCACAAGCAGAUUCCCAUCUUCAAGUUGAAAAUAUAGUUGACCCUUGAACAACACAAGUUUGAAUUUCGCAUAAGUAGGCCUGUGCAGUUCAAACCCGAGUUGUUCAAGGGUCAACUGUAUUUAUUUUUUU
This is an RNA transcript of Rhinolophus ferrumequinum (greater horseshoe bat), 2227 nucleotides long. It is a transcript of the gene named RNA-binding protein 4, with no coding region annotated. The record is from RefSeq and is a predicted model, not a curated record. The transcript is spliced from 3 exons. Lineage: Eukaryota; Metazoa; Chordata; Mammalia; Chiroptera; Rhinolophidae.